UACGGAAGGGGCGAGCGUUGUUCGGAAUCAUUGGGCGUAAAGGGCGCGUAGGUGGUUCUGUAUGUCUACCGUGAAAGCGUACGGCUCAGCCGUAUUUUGUCGGUGGAAACUGCAGGACUUGAGGCUGGGAGGGGCUGGCGGAAUUCCCUGUGUAGCGGUGAAAUGCGUAGAGAUGGGGGAGAACACUCGUGGCGAAGGCGGCCAGCUAGACCAGUUCUGACACUGAGGCGCGAUAGCGUGGGGAGCAAACAGG
RNAcentral lists this ribosomal RNA (253 nucleotides) under uncultured prokaryote. Its description in RNAcentral is "partial 16S ribosomal RNA". It matches the Rfam family "Bacterial small subunit ribosomal RNA", at positions 524 to 776 of the family's 1533-position model. The record is from RNAcentral.